CUAGCCGUAAACGAUGGGUACUAGGUGUGGGAGGUAUCGACCCCUUCCGUGCCGGAGUUAACGCAAUAAGUACCCCGCCUGGGGACUACGAUCGCAAGAUUGAAACUCAAAGGAAUUGACGGGGGCCCGCACAAGCGGUGGAGCAUGUGGUUUAAUUCGAAGCAACGCGAAGAACCUUACCAGGCCUUGACAUCCAAUGAACUUUCCAGAGAUGGAUUGGUGCCUUCGGGAACAUUGAGACAGGUGC
Molecule: ribosomal RNA, 247 nt
Filed under: uncultured bacterium
Lineage: Bacteria
Description: partial 16S ribosomal RNA
Rfam family: Bacterial small subunit ribosomal RNA
Source: RNAcentral